Empidonax traillii (willow flycatcher) is the source of this 94-nucleotide long non-coding RNA. RefSeq lists it as uncharacterized. The transcript is spliced from 3 exons. The record is from RefSeq and is a predicted model, not a curated record. Lineage: Eukaryota; Metazoa; Chordata; Aves; Passeriformes; Tyrannidae.
AAAAACUGUUUGUGUCUGCAAAACCCCCUCGUGUGCUGCUGCUGCCAAACGAGGCGAGGAAUGGGAUGACCAGAGCGGCGGCUAUAGAUGGGAA